Molecule: small nucleolar RNA, 104 nt
Filed under: Spermophilus dauricus (Daurian ground squirrel)
Lineage: Eukaryota; Metazoa; Chordata; Mammalia; Rodentia; Sciuridae
Description: Small nucleolar RNA SNORD113/SNORD114 family (ENSSDAG00000020992.1)
Rfam family: Small nucleolar RNA SNORD113/SNORD114 family (bases 1-75)
About the family: The imprinted human domain at 14q32 contains two clusters of tandemly repeated small nucleolar RNAs named 14q(I) and 14q(II) snoRNAs. These two clusters are named SNORD113 and SNORD114 respectively in the HGNC approved gene symbol nomenclature. The snoRNAs found in both clusters are clearly related and are represented here by a single family.
Source: RNAcentral
UGGACCAAUCAUGACAUCUGGUUGCAUGUGAGUGACUUGCGAGGAGCACCUGGUGUCUGAAACUCUGAUCUUUCAUCUUUCGAUAUCAGUGUUGUAGGGUCUUA